UAGACCGGAACAACUGAAGGAAGGCAUAUCUCUAGUUAGUGUGAUUGACUCAGAACUGGGCACAUGAUCCAACCUGGGCUGCUGAGAAGCCUGGAGUUCUUAUCAAACCAAAGAGCCCUGUUUACUGUAGAUUCUCUGAGGGGGAGAAUUUCUGUUGAGAGCUACUCAGGAAUAUCUCUGAUACCUGAGAUGUUGGAAAUCUUUCCAUAAAAGGAGAGAAAAAUCCCAACGGCGAGGACAGUGGAAUUCAGAGAUGAGGAAAGCAAAUGCUAUGGGACAUCCUCUCAGCGGCUGGGCCAGUGGAGAUACAGCACGGAGCACUCGGCACAGGUGCCAUACAUCAAAACUUCAGUAAGUUAAAACUGGAGGAGUCCCAGAAGGCCUGCUACUUCCAAGGUAAAGUGACUGUCCCUGGACCAUCUGCUGUGGUAUAAUUGGACUGGCAUGAUGUUGGAGUUUGAAGCAGAUGGAUGGAGGCUCACGCUGCGACAUUCAUUCUGGAAGUGUGUGGAAGACCAGCAGAGAUCAGAAGUCUAACACACACAGUCCACCCAGCCAACAGACCACAGGGAGACUGAUGCACACACCACCGCACCGCAAGCCCAGGAAGCCAAGACAAAGCAGAAGCAACAACCCACCUUUGUCACUCAGGAAAAAAAGGUCACAGAGUCACAAAGGGUAAAUGGCCGGUGGAAAGCAAGCACAUAAGCCAGGCCUCAUCACAACUGGCUUCACAUUGAGCCAGAAAAUUGCAAGACGCUGCAUCUCCUUUAACCUCUGCUGCCUCAUGGAGCUUGUGGGAACCUGGGUCCUAAGGGUUAUGCUGAAACCCCUCCCCAAGGUAGCUGCUUGCCCCCCAUGUGCAGAGCCCGUGGGGCCUGCGAGGACCAUUUCCCUUCCCAGGUGUCCUCUCUGUUGGAAGUUGCUUGGGCUGCAGAUGAGAACUGAAACCGAAAUACCCCCUAAAGAGAGAAGUGGAUGAAAAAAAAAUUCUUCGUUCGUUUACAACUCUUGACAAAUCUGCAAGAUUGGACACAAGAGCAUUACUAAAUGAUUAAAAGCCCAGGUUCUCCCCUGUGGGAGUAAGUGUGGGAGAGUAUUAGAUUACUGCUGAAUAAUGUAAUCACUGCAGCUCUCUGACAGCUCAAACAUACAGCCAGGACGCCCCUUUUCACUCUGUUUACCAACUGCAUUCGAAAAGCCAUCUUCCUUCUGGCGAAUUUCCCCAUUUUCCUCUACUUGAGUUUAUUGUGACUCAAUAAAAUA
Alexandromys fortis (reed vole) is the source of this 1266-nucleotide long non-coding RNA. RefSeq lists it as uncharacterized. Lineage: Eukaryota; Metazoa; Chordata; Mammalia; Rodentia; Cricetidae. The transcript is spliced from 3 exons. The record is from RefSeq and is a predicted model, not a curated record.